GUUUUGGGGUUCGGUGUGCAGCCAGCAUGGUGUCCUUGGCACCAGGGUUUCGGCAGAGGAGCCUAGCGUGGGCCUACUUACUUGGACUCCUCCGCGUGGGGCAGCUCGGGACACCCUGGCCUGCAGGAGAGCGGGGUUUCUAGGCUGGCCUCGGCUCUGCAGUGCAGCCGGGUGCCUGCCACUCGCGGGGCUCUGUCGCAGUACUCGUGCCUGGCGCCUCCCCUCAGCCACAGAGACCGCAGUAGCUCCAACCAUCGCACCCCUAACUGGGCCACGAGUUCUCUGAUUGCCAGACCUGUUGUCUUUGCUACUCACUGUUCUGAGCAAUUGGAGAGUCGUGUAUUCACUACACGCCAGCCAGAGUGGUCCUGUAAAAGCAGUCUCACUCUGCUGCCUAGGCUGAGUGCAGUGGUGUGAUCAAGGCGCACUGCAGCCUUGACCUCCUGGGCUCAAGCGAUCCUCACCUCGGUCUACCGAGUAGCUGGGACUACAGGCACGCGCCACUACACUCGGCCUUGAGGGCUGCACCUAGAUGAACCUGUGAGGCUCAUUUGAACCUUUUGGAAGCACCGAAGCCUGCUGAAGUUUCCAGACAUCUGAACUCAACUGGCAAGGCUGCUUUUCUGUGCUAAAACUGGGGAGCUAGUGGGCACCAUGAAGAUCUUCUGCAGUCGGGCCAAUCCGACCACGGGGUCUGUGGAGUGGCUGGAGGAGGAUGAACACUAUGAUUACCACCAGGAGAUUGCAAGGUCAUCUUAUGCAGAUAUGCUACAUGACAAAGACAGAAAUGUAAAAUACUACCAAGGUAUCCGGGUUGCCGUGAGCAGGGUGAAGGACAGAGGACAGAAGGCCUUGGUUCUCGACAUUGGCACUGGCACGGGACUCUUGUCAAUGAUGGCGGUCACAGCAGGUGCCGACUUCUGCUAUGCCAUCGAGGUUUUCAAGCCUAUGGCUGAUGCUGCUGUGAAGAUUGUGGAGAAAAAUGGCUUUAGUGAUAAGAUUAAGGUUAUCAACAAGCAUUCCACCGAGGUGACUAUAGGUCCAGAGGGUGACAUGCCAUGCCGUGCCAACAUCCUGGUCACAGAGUUGUUUGACACAGAGCUGAUCGGGGAGGGGGCGCUGCCCUCCUAUGAGCACGCACACAGGCAUCUCGUGGAGGAAAAUUGUGAGGCCGUGCCCCACAGAGCCACCGUCUAUGCACAGCUGGUGGAGUCCAGGAGGAUGUGGUCGUGGAACAAGCUAUUUCCCAUCCACGUGCAGACCAGCCUCGGAGAGCAGGUCAUCGUCCCUCCCAUGGACCUGGAGAGCUGCCCUGGCGCACCCUCUGUCUGUGACAUUCAGCUGAACCAGGUGUCACCAGCCGACUUUACAGUCCUCAGCGAUGUGCUGCCCAUGUUCAGCAUAGACUUCAGCAAGCAAGUCAGUAGCUCAGCAGCCUGCCAUAGCAGGCGGUUUGAACCUCUGACAUCUGGCCGAGCUCAGGUGGUUCUCUCGUGGUGGGACAUUGAAAUGGACCCUGAGGGGAAGAUCAAGUGCACCAUGGCCCCCUUCUGGGCACACUCAGACCCAGAGGAGAUGCAGUGGCGGGACCACUGGAUGCAGUGUGUGUACUUCCUGCCACAAGAGGAGCCUGUGAUGCAGGGCUCAGCGCUCUAUCUGGUAGCCCACCACGAUGACUACUGCGUAUGGUACAGCCUGCAGAGGACCAGCCCUGAAAAGAAUGAGAGAGUCCGCCAGAUGCGCCCCGUGUGUGACUGCCAGGCUCACCUGCUCUGGAACCGGCCUCGGUUUGGAGAGAUCAAUGACCAGGACAGAACUGAUCGAUACGUCCAGGCUCUGAGGACCGUGCUGAAGCCAGACAGCGUGUGCCUGUGUGUCAGCGAUGGCAGCCUGCUCUCCGUGCUGGCCCAUCACCUGGGGGUGGAGCAGGUGUUUACAGUCGAGAGCUCAGCAGCUUCUCACAAACUGUUGAGAAAAAUCUUCAAGGCUAACCACUUGGAAGAUAAAAUUAACAUCAUAGAGAAACGGCCGGAAUUAUUAACAAAUGAGGACCUGCAGGGCAGAAAGGUCUCUCUCCUCCUGGGCGAGCCGUUCUUCACUACCAGCCUGCUGCCGUGGCACAACCUCUACUUCUGGUACGUGCGGACUGCUGUGGACCAGCACCUGGGGCCAGGUGCCAUGGUGAUGCCCCAGGCAGCCUCGCUGCACGCUGUGGUUGUGGAGUUCAGGGACCUGUGGCGGAUCCGGAGCCCCUGUGGUGACUGCGAAGGCUUCGACGUGCACAUCAUGGACGACAUGAUUAAGCGUGCCCUGGACUUCAGGGAGAGCAGGGAAGCUGAGCCCCACCCGCUGUGGGAGUACCCAUGCCGCAGCCUCUCUGAGCCCUGGCAGAUCCUGACCUUUGACUUCCGGCAGCCGGUGCCCCUGCAGCCCCUGUGUGCCGAGGGCACCGUGGAGCUCAGAAGGCCCGGGCAGAGCCACGCAGCGGUGCUAUGGAUGGAGUACCACCUGAUCCCGGAGUGCACGCUCAGCACUGGCCUCCUGGAGCCUGCAGACCCCGAGGGGGGCUGCUGCUGGAACCCCCACUGCAAGCAGGCCGUCUACUUCUUCAGCCCUGCCCCAGAUCCCAGAGCACUGCUGGGUGGCCCGCGGACUGUCAGCUAUGCGGUGGAGUUUCACCCCGACACAGGCGACAUCGUCAUGGAGUUCAGGUAACUUCAAGCCACAGGUGUCUGGCCUCAGUGCUGCACCAGCUGGUGGCCUGCCAGGACCUGAGACUGGACACAAGGCAGCUGUCCCAGAGCAGUUCCUGAGAUGCAGGCCCAGGAAAGCGGCUGUCAGGGGAGCUGGGAGGCAGCCCUGUUCCCUGCACCUCCCUCAGAUUGGAAAGCCCCUCCUGCAGGUGGGGUAUGGCAGGGAGCAGCCCCUGCCCAGCGCCGCUUCACCAGGAAGGCAGUCAGCAGGCGGUUCCGGGUCUAGGGGUCCAGGGCCGGCCGGCCCAGUCGCUUGUGUGAGCAGAGUCCCAGCUGCUUCUGGAAGUUGGGGGCCUCCACAUCAUGAAUCCCAGUCAAGGCUCACAGGCCAGCCCCUUGGAGGGGUGGGCCGGGCAGAGAGCCCAGCAGGAUGCUCGCCCUCAGCAGCCCCUUCCUGGCUCUGGACUCUGGAGGGGCAGGGCUUGGGCCCGGGCAGACGGUGCUUCCCAGGCCAGGUGAGUUCAGACAGGCCAGUGUCACAAGGACGCACGUCCUAGCGCCAGGCUCCCUGGGCUCUGCAGCGUUGUCUACCCCAGCACAGGGCCAGGCGUCUGGCUGGCUGCGUGGCCCCCUCUUGGUCCCUCUUGCAGCUCAAUGGGUGACAAGGCACAGCAUCAGGGCACCAGCACCAGGAGGGGCAGACAGCAGGUCCUGGUGCUCCCUCCAGCCUCACCAGGCAAAGCCGGCCCUGGGCCAGGCUGGGUGCAGGGCCAGGGCGCCACGAGGAGCGGAGGUCAGCGGGGAUUGUCAAAAACAGUCCCUCAAGUUGAGUCUCGAACUUUGAAACAGACAAAACCUUCACUGCAUGACAGGAGCAGCCCUGGAGUCUCUUAAAGGCAGGUGGGCAGAGGCAGUGCUGCCGAAGGGGCCUGGGGGCUGUAGGCAUCUUGGGGCUGGAGGCAGAUUGGGGACCACAAGCUGUUGGCCAGCUCUGCCAUGCUGAACUUGGGUGCCAGUACCACACCCUGCCCUGGGCAUGCAGCAACCGUCAGCCUUGCUGCCCCAGCUUGCGCACUGGUGAGGGCCAGGCUGCUCUCUGCACCUUGGCUUCCUGCCUCCUAGGCCGGGGUCCCCUUGUGGCCUUGGUGUUGGCUGGGGUAGCUAUUGAGGAUAGGCCUGGGAGGCCAGAGCCGCAGCCCCACCCGGGGGGCAGGCAGGGGUUCCUGAGCUCAGCCGGCACGCAGGUGGGGCACGUCCCCAGGGAGGGAUUGGUCCCGAACCAGAGAGGUGUCCGGUGGGGGAGAGGAUUGGCAGAAAGAAGAGGAUGUGUUGGUUUUGAUAGAAGAGAAGCUACAAAUAGAUUAUUUUCAAAAUCAGGAUCCCCCCACCCCCAUUUAUGCUGUGAGUCCCUUCUUCCUGUAAAAAAAAAAAAAGUGGAUACUCUCUUCUCGGAUCCCCGUUUAUGGCUCCACUGCCCAGAUGGGAGGCUCCUGGAGGAGGCCCAGGGUGCCAGAGCCUGCCAGACUCUGUUGUGCCUGAGCUGGGGAAGGGACCCUGUCUCGGGAAGAGCAAAGUUCUAUGAGUGACUUACAGACCCUAUGAAGUGAGGGUUGGUUUUGUGAUUAACCUUUUUCUGUUUUUCCUUUUAAAAUGUAAUUGCCCUUGAAUGCGAGACCCUGGGAAGAGCCCUGGGCUGGCUGGUAGAGAUGCAGCCCUCGGACCCUGCAGGAGCCGGCCCACACUGGAGGCGGGAGAGCUGGUGGCCGUGCCCAGGAAGUGCUUCUUUGGCUGGUUCUGAUUGUGUUUGGAGUUUGGCCUUGGGUGAGGCCCGAGCAAGGGGUCUGUGGCUACGGCAUGGCACGUGGCAUGCGGGCAGCGUGCAUGCGAGGGUGCAGGCAUGCGAGACGACAUUGGCAGCAGACAAAAAUAAAGAACCCUGGACGAAGCUUAAGAA
This is an RNA transcript of Pan troglodytes (chimpanzee), 4647 nucleotides long. It is a transcript of the gene named protein arginine methyltransferase 7, with no coding region annotated. Lineage: Eukaryota; Metazoa; Chordata; Mammalia; Primates; Hominidae. The record is from RefSeq and is a predicted model, not a curated record. The transcript has 22 exons.